AUGGCAGCUGCCCAAAGUCGAGUGGACCUGGAGGCUGUUAUUCAGAGCCAGCUGAGUAAUGGGAGGAGGGGGAAGGGACAACGGAACAGGCCAGGUGGUAGCCUGUCCCGCAGAAGCCAAAGCUCAGACACUGCCUCGCUGUCCCAAAUGCUUCUCACCAAAAGUGAUGAAAGCCAUGCACCUCCCAAGCCUAAGAGCUCCCAGACUGAGUGGUCUUCUACUACAAGACGAAGAGGGAGAGGCAGAGGAAGAGGGAGGGGGAGAGGCAGAGGCAGAGGUCAGAGACAAGGGAGGGGCCUUUAUGUUCAGUCUUCCCCCAGCGUUGACUCUGUAGCAUCAGAACCUUUGAAGGCUGAUGCUAGUCCACUCUCUAACACAGAAUCCUUUGCUGUGACCCCUGAGAAGGAACUGUACCCAAUCUUUUGCUCAGAUAAAGAGAUGAUCAAAAGUUGUACUGUUGUCCAUUGCAGCAACAGCAACUCACAGGGUGGUAAAAAAGAUGAGCUUCAAGCUGGAAACUGCUCCUCUACAAGGUCAAACACUUGUGAAUCCCUCUUUCUCCAGCCUUCAGGGCAUACACUCUUGUUCUCACAGGUCUUCACUGUCAAAAGAAGGGACUUUGGGCUCAGUUCCCUUCUUUCGCUGCUUGACAUCAAAGACUUCCACCUUCCCGAUGAUGAGUUUGGGAGGCUUAAACUGGACAAACUCCGGUCCUCAGCCACAAUGGGUUUAGAAGCCUUUGAACCUCAUCGAUCCUCAUAUAUCACCCGUUGGAGGGCAUCAAGGGCAACUUUAGACUUGAAAAGCUCUCAGGAGGCAGUCAGGAGCCUGUCUUCCACAGACUGUCAGCCAUUUGUUCCUGUGACAUCCACUAAGGAAACAACUGGUCUUCUUAAUGAUGCUAGCUUGGUAAACAAGACCACACAUGUGAGACAGACAGCAGCCAUGGACAACUGGAAGGCUGUGCUUCCAGAUGGAGGAAAUGACACCUACAGCCUCUCUCAGGAAAAAGCAAGUAAAGCAGAGUCAGCAACGAACUCUUCUCCCAGAGUGCCACCGAACCCAAAUUCAAGUGAGCUGGGUCUUGUUGAGGACAGAAUGCACUCCCAGGGUAUGGAAAUAGAUGGAGGGAACAUCAGGGAGACUACAGACCGUGCACUAAUGGACAUGGGAGCAGAAUCCAGUCCAAGAAGGAGACAUUCAGUUGUGGCUACGAUGGCAACAUCUCCUCAUGUGCUCAAUUUCAGCCCAGUUCCAACUUUGCCAUGUCAAAAAAAUGAUGACUCAACUCUGCCCCUUUGGGGAAGUCCUACUUUUCCCUCUUUGGGAGUAACCCCUGCUUUCCCUCUUCAUCCGAGCCUCCCAUUGCAGAACUGCUCCCCUUCUGCCUCUCCUAAAGCGCCAAGUCAACUCCCCCAGUCAACAACGCCGUCAGCUGCACAUGGUACAAAAACGCAGAUUGCUGUCACAGAGAAGCCAGUUGGAGACUUGUCACCCUCCGUUCCUUGCCAUACAUCAUUCAUGAAAAUCCAAGAUGAAUUCCACAAAGCCACAUCUGUUGAGUUGGAAGAGACAGAAUUUAACAUGUCCAUAUCAUCUACAGAGGGGUAUCUAUCAAUAACAAAAGGCAAUUUACACACUUCACUGGAACCUUCAGACUCACUUUCUGCUUCCAUCUUUGACGGUCUUAAUUGUCAGCUACCUUCUCCAACAUUUUCAUCACAUUCAGAGCAUCCUCUCAUCAAAGUACCUGCCCAGGGCUGCAGUGCAACCCCAUGCCGGCUGCAAGAAAAGGUGGGAGAGAGAGGUCAACUCUGUCAAUCUCCAAGGUCAGAGCCUACAUCACUUCCAUUACUUAAUUUCUCCCAAAUUCAGGAGAAUAUUGACUCUGUAAAACACAACCUGACUGCCUUCGUUUCCCCACCUCACACAUCAGUGAAAAACUUUGCUGAUGCUGAGGAGAACCCCCCCGGCUCUCUAGAGAAGAACAGUGAAACUGCUUGUGGUCUGAAUGUACCCAGCAUUGAACCACAAAAAGAUGAGACUUUUGUUGAGGAUAGUAUUGCUUCUCCGGACUGCCACUUUGCUAGUGGACCAGACGGUGGGGAGAGAGACCUGGACUGUUACUUUACAGACUCGACAUGUCCACCGGGGACCGAGAUGAUGCCUCCUCGCAGACAGUCCUCACCAUGUCAGGACUUCGCUGUGAUACCAUUGGAGAUGCAUGCUGAGCGGUCCCCUGAGGUACCAGCAGAGAAUCCUGCUGAGAUCCUACAGCUUGAGAACAGUCUGAAGGCAAGUCUCGCUUCUUCUGUACGUUGA
Molecule: long non-coding RNA, 2322 nt
Filed under: Scleropages formosus (Asian bonytongue)
Lineage: Eukaryota; Metazoa; Chordata; Actinopteri; Osteoglossiformes; Osteoglossidae
Description: lncRNA (ENSSFOG00015008827.2)
Source: RNAcentral